This 1343-nucleotide ribosomal RNA is filed under the name uncultured bacterium. RNAcentral describes it as "16S ribosomal RNA". It matches the Rfam family "Bacterial small subunit ribosomal RNA", at positions 28 to 1378 of the family's 1533-position model. The record is from RNAcentral.
GACGAACGCUGGCGGCGUGCUUAACACAUGCAAGUCGAACGGAAAGGCCCUGCUUUUGUGGGGUGCUCGAGUGGCGAACGGGUGAGUAACACGUGAGUAACCUGCCCUUGACUUUGGGAUAACUUCAGGAAACUGGGGCUAAUACCGGAUAGGAGCUCCUGCUGCAUGGUGGGGGUUGGAAAGUUUCGGCGGUUGGGGAUGGACUCGCAGCUUAUCAGCUUGUUGGUGGGGUAGUGGCUUACCAAGGCUUUGACGGGUAGCCGGCCUGAGAGGGUGACCGGCCACAUUGGGACUGAGAUACGGCCCAGACUCCUACGGGAGGCAGCAGUGGGGAAUAUUGCACAAUGGGCGGAAGCCUGAUGCAGCAACGCCGCGUGCGGGAUGACGGCCUUCGGGUUGUAAACCGCUUUCGCCUGUGACGAAGCGUGAGUGACGGUAAUGGGUAAAGAAGCACCGGCUAACUACGUGCCAGCAGCCGCGGUGAUACGUAGGGUGCGAGCGUUGUCCGGAUUUAUUGGGCGUAAAGGGCUCGUAGGUGGUUGAUCGCGUCGGAAGUGUAAUCUUGGGGCUUAACCCUGAGCGUGCUUUCGAUACGGGUUGACUUGAGGAAGGUAGGGGAGAAUGGAAUUCCUGGUGGAGCGGUGGAAUGCGCAGAUAUCAGGAGGAACACCAGUGGCGAAGGCGGUUCUCUGGGCCUUUCCUGACGCUGAGGAGCGAAAGCGUGGGGAGCGAACAGGCUUAGAUACCCUGGUAGUCCACGCUGUAAACGGUGGGUACUAGGUGUGGGGUCCAUUCCACGGGUUCCGUGCCGUAGCUAACGCUUUAAGUACCCCGCCUGGGGAGUACGGCCGCAAGGCUAAAACUCAAAGGAAUUGACGGGGCCCCGCACAAGCGGCGGAGCAUGCGGAUUAAUUCGAUGCAACGCGUAGAACCUUACCUGGGUUUGACAUGGAUCGGGAGCGCUCAGAGAUGGGUGUGCCUCUUUUGGGGUCGGUUCACAGGUGGUGCAUGGCUGUCGUCAGCUCGUGUCGUGAGAUGUUGGGUUAAGUCCCGCAACGAGCGCAACCCUUGUUCACUGUUGCCAGCACGUUAUGGUGGGGACUCAGUGGAGACCGCCGGGGUCAACUCGGGGGAAGGUGGGGAUGACGUCAAGUCAUCAUGCCCCUUAUGUCCAGGGCUUCACGCAUGCUACAAUGGCUGGUACAGAGAGUGGCGAGCCUGUGAGGGUGAGCGAAUCUCGGAAAGCCGGUCUCAGUUCGGAUUGGGGUCUGCAACUCGACCUCAUGAAGUCGGAGUCGCUAGUAAUCGCAGAUCAGCAACGCUGCGGUGAAUACGUUCCCGGG